RNAcentral lists this ribosomal RNA (2112 nucleotides) under Vibrio cholerae. Its description in RNAcentral is "partial 23S ribosomal RNA". It matches the Rfam family "Bacterial large subunit ribosomal RNA", at positions 1 to 2155 of the family's 2925-position model. The record is from RNAcentral. Lineage: Bacteria; Pseudomonadati; Pseudomonadota; Gammaproteobacteria; Vibrionales; Vibrionaceae.
GGUUAAGUGACUAAGCGUACACGGUGGAUGCCUGGGCAGUCAGAGGCGAUGAAGGACGUACUAACUUGCGAUAAGCGCAGAUAAGGCAGUAAGAGCCGUUUGAGUCUGCGAUUUCCGAAUGGGGAAACCCAACUGCAUAAGCAGUUACUGUUAACUGAAUACAUAGGUUAACAGAGCAAACCGGGGGAACUGAAACAUCUAAGUACCCCGAGGAGAAGAAAUCAACCGAGAUUCCGGUAGUAGCGGCGAGCGAACCUGGAUUAGCCCUUAAGCACUCGGUGAAGUAGGUGAACAAGCUGGAAAGCUUGGCGAUACAGGGUGAUAGCCCCGUAACCGACGCUUCAUCGAGCGUGAAAUCGAGUAGGGCGGGACACGUGAUAUCCUGUCUGAAUAUGGGGGGACCAUCCUCCAAGGCUAAAUACUCCUGACUGACCGAUAGUGAACCAGUACCGUGAGGGAAAGGCGAAAAGAACCCCUGUGAGGGGAGUGAAAUAGAACCUGAAACCGUGUACGUACAAGCAGUAGGAGCACCUUCGUGGUGUGACUGCGUACCUUUUGUAUAAUGGGUCAGCGACUUAUAUUCAGUGGCAAGGUUAACCGUAUAGGGGAGCCGUAGCGAAAGCGAGUCUUAACUGGGCGCUCAGUCUCUGGAUAUAGACCCGAAACCGGGUGAUCUAGCCAUGGGCAGGUUGAAGGUUGAGUAACAUCAACUGGAGGACCGAACCGACUAAUGUUGAAAAAUUAGCGGAUGACUUGUGGCUAGGGGUGAAAGGCCAAUCAAACUCGGAGAUAGCUGGUUCUCCCCGAAAGCUAUUUAGGUAGCGCCUCGGACGAAUACUACUGGGGGUAGAGCACUGUUAAGGCUAGGGGGUCAUCCCGACUUACCAACCCUUUGCAAACUCCGAAUACCAGUAAGUACUAUCCGGGAGACACACGGCGGGUGCUAACGUCCGUCGUGGAGAGGGAAACAACCCAGACCGCCAGCUAAGGUCCCAAAGUAUUGCUAAGUGGGAAACGAUGUGGGAAGGCUCAGACAGCUAGGAUGUUGGCUUAGAAGCAGCCAUCAUUUAAAGAAAGCGUAAUAGCUCACUAGUCGAGUCGGCCUGCGCGGAAGAUGUAACGGGGCUAAGCAAUACACCGAAGCUGCGGCAAUAUCUUUUAGAUAUUGGGUAGGGGAGCGUUCUGUAAGCCGUUGAAGGUGAAUCGUAAGGUUUGCUGGAGGUAUCAGAAGUGCGAAUGCUGACAUGAGUAACGACAAAGGGGGUGAAAAACCUCCUCGCCGGAAGACCAAGGGUUCCUGUCCAACGUUAAUCGGGGCAGGGUGAGUCGACCCCUAAGGUGAGGCCGAAAGGCGUAAUCGAUGGGAAACGGGUUAAUAUUCCCGUACUUCUGACUAUUGCGAUGGGGGGACGGAGAAGGCUAGGUGGGCCAGGCGACGGUUGUCCUGGUUCAAGUGCGUAGGCUUGAGAGUUAGGUAAAUCCGGCUCUCUCUAAGGCUGAGACACGACGUCGAGCUGCUACGGCAGUGAAGUCAUUGAUGCCAUGCUUCCAGGAAAAGCCUCUAAGCUUCAGAUAGUUAGGAAUCGUACCCCAAACCGACACAGGUGGUCGGGUAGAGAAUACCAAGGCGCUUGAGAGAACUCGGGUGAAGGAACUAGGCAAAAUGGUACCGUAACUUCGGGAGAAGGUACGCUCUUGAUGGUGAAGUCCCUCGCGGAUGGAGCUGACGAGAGUCGCAGAUACCAGGUGGCUGCAACUGUUUAUUAAAAACACAGCACUGUGCAAAAUCGCAAGAUGACGUAUACGGUGUGACGCCUGCCCGGUGCCGGAAGGUUAAUUGAUGGGGUUAGCGCAAGCGAAGCUCUUGAUCGAAGCCCCGGUAAACGGCGGCCGUAACUAUAACGGUCCUAAGGUAGCGAAAUUCCUUGUCGGGUAAGUUCCGACCUGCACGAAUGGCGUAAUGAUGGCCACGCUGUCUCCACCCGAGACUCAGUGAAAUUGAAAUCGCUGUGAAGAUGCAGUGUACCCGCGGCUAGACGGAAAGACCCCGUGAACCUUUACUACAGCUUGGCACUGAACAUUGAACCUACAUGUGUAGGAUAGGUGGGAGGC